Long non-coding RNA from Saccostrea cuccullata (small rock oyster), 273 nucleotides. RefSeq lists it as uncharacterized. The record is from RefSeq and is a predicted model, not a curated record. The transcript has 6 exons. NCBI's taxonomy places the organism in Eukaryota, Metazoa, Mollusca, Bivalvia, Ostreida, Ostreidae.
CAAAAGUCCACCAAAAUUCACUGCAUUGACAGCUCAGACAGCGAGGAUGAUUUCCAAGAAAAAAAGAAGACAAGCACACCUAUAUGCAGUACACCUACUCAAAUGAAAGAUGAUGCUGAGCUCCCUUCAUUGAAUCCAUCACAGUCAAAGAGAAAAAAGAGAAACACAACAAUACUGCCUAGUCCUGAUCAAUCUCCUAAAGAUGAUGCUGAGCUCCCAUCAUUGAAUCCAUCACAGUCAAAGAGAAAAAAGAGAAACACAACAAUACUGCCU